AUAGUAUGUAGUGAGAAAUUAUGAUAAAAAAGCUAUAUUAAUAUGUUUCUUUAUAUAUAAGCUAUAUUGUUCUAUUUGGUUUGCCAGAGUGAAUGCACUAUAUGUUUCCUUAUUUAUUUCGUGAACGAAUAACCUCAAAAUGAAUGAACGGUUGAAAAUAAAAAUUUCAUAAAACAGAGUGAGAAAAAAUUUAAAUUUCAAGUCGGAAGUAUUAAUCUUACUUUUGAUAGAAAGUGAAAUUUUUUAUUAAAGUUUUAUCUGAUUUGAAUUAUUCUACAUUGUUGAACUUACAAACGAGCCACGUCAGCCAUUAAAAUUAUCGUUUUUGAGGCCCUUUGAUUACUUCAUAAAUAAUGUCGAAAAAUUAUAAAAUUUAAUUUCUAAAUAA
Molecule: long non-coding RNA, 388 nt
Filed under: Ananas comosus (pineapple)
Lineage: Eukaryota; Viridiplantae; Streptophyta; Magnoliopsida; Poales; Bromeliaceae
Description: long non-coding RNA (ACOM_LNC009471)
Source: RNAcentral